Molecule: unclassified non-coding RNA, 289 nt
Filed under: Hevea brasiliensis (rubber tree)
Lineage: Eukaryota; Viridiplantae; Streptophyta; Magnoliopsida; Malpighiales; Euphorbiaceae
Source: RNAcentral
CGGGCGACGCCACCUUGAGCGCGGAUAUCGGCUGGCACACGCUCCAAAGCCAUGACAGCACAAGCGCCAGCCUCCUCGGCUAUGCGGGCCUGCUCGGGAUUUACGACGUCCAUGAUAACACCGCCUCUUAGCAUCUGGGCUAGACCCACCUUCACGGAAAAGGGGGACUUUUUGGUUUCGGUGAUUGCUCCGUUGCCGUAAACUGCCACCACCCCAGUUCCAGCCAUUUCUAAAUACUGUAGAAGGAGAAAGCGCAGAGGAAGAAAGAGAUUAAUGGGUUAUCAUGGAC